UGGUCUAGCUAGUCCAAUUGAGCAAAACGAAUUUUAGUUCUACCCCCCGAAACUAGGUGAGCUACUUCGAAAUAGCCGCAAGAGCAAACCCGUCUCUGUUGCAAAAGAGUGGGAAAAUUUCCAAGUAGAGGCGACAAACCUACCGCACCAAGAGAUAGCUGGUUACUCAAGAAAAGAAUAUUAGUUCUACCUUAAGUUUUAUUAGUUAUCAUAAACUUAGAUUAAACUUAAGAGCUAUUCAAAUAAGGCACAGCUUAUUUGAAAAAGGAUACAACCUAUAAUAUCGGGUAAUUAAACAAGAAAAAAUGCUAAGUGGGCCUAAAAGCAGCCAUCUUUCAAAAAGCGUUAAAGCUUUACAUUUAUUCUUUAGAAAUAAUACAAUUAUUAUUUAACCCUCCAUUAAUAUUGAGUAAUUCCAUAAUAUAUGGAAGAUAUAAUGCUAGAACUAGUAACAAGAAGUUGUACUUCUCCAAAAUGUAAGCCUAAGCCAUCUUAGACACCCUACUGGCAAUUAACGUCUAUGAACCUACUUUAUUAACACUACAAGAAAACUUUAAAUACCUUAACGUUAAACUUACACUAGAACAUUUAUGGAAAGAUUAAAAGAAAAAGAAGGAACUCGGCAAAUAUAAACCCCGCCUGUUUACCAAAAACAUCGCCUCUUGUCCAAAUAUAAGAGGUCUAGCCUGCCCAGUGAUAAAAUUUAACGGCCGCGGUACCCUAACCGUGCGAAGGUAGCAUAAUCACUUGUUCUUUAAAUGAGGACUUGUAUCAACGGCAUCACGAGGGUUUAACUGUCUCCUUUUUCAUAUCAGUAAAACUAAUCUCCCCGUGAAGAAGCGGGGAUAAAUUUAUAAGACGAGAAGACCCCAUGGAGCUUUAAACCCAGAAACACUCCUACAAAUCUUACUUUUUAAUACAUGGACCCUGUAAGCUGGUUUUAGGUUGGGGUGACCGCGGAGCAUAAAUUAGCCUCCACAAUGAAUAGACUUCUUCUUUAUCCUUGAUUUACUCCUCUAAGAAUUAGUAUUCUAACAUAAAAUGAUCCGAUUACUCGAUCAACGAACCAAGUUACCCUGGGGAUAACAGCGCAAUCUACUUCAAGAGCUCCUAUCGACAAGUGGGUUUACGACCUCGAUGUUGGAUCAGGGUACCCCAGUGGUGCAGCA
RNAcentral lists this ribosomal RNA (1169 nucleotides) under Guibemantis pulcher (Tsarafidy Madagascar frog). Its description in RNAcentral is "partial 16S ribosomal RNA". It matches the Rfam family "Bacterial large subunit ribosomal RNA", at positions 616 to 2560 of the family's 2925-position model. The record is from RNAcentral. Lineage: Eukaryota; Metazoa; Chordata; Amphibia; Anura; Mantellidae.